AGUGAACGCUGGCGGUAGGCCUAACACAUGCAAGUCGAACGGCAGCACAGUAAGAGCUUGCUCUUACGGGUGGCGAGUGGCGGACGGGUGAGAAGUACAUCGGAAUCUACUUUUUCGUGGGGGAUAACGUAGGGAAACUUACGCUAAUACCGCAUACGACCUACGGGUGAAAGCAGGGGAUCUUCGGACCUUGCGCGAUUGAAUGAGCCGAUGUCGGAUUAGCUAGUUGGCGGGGUAAAGGCCCACCAAGGCGACGAUCCGUAGCUGGUCUGAGAGGAUGAUCAGCCACACUGGAACUGAGACACGGUCCAGACUCCUACGGGAGGCAGCAGUGGGGAAUAUUGGACAAUGGGCGCAAGCCUGAUCCAGCCAUACCGCGUGGGUGAAGAAGGCCUUCGGGUUGUAAAGCCCUUUUGUUGGGAAAGAAAAGCAGCAGGUUAAUACCCCGCUGUUCUGACGGUACCCAAAGAAUAAGCACCGGCUAACUUCGUG
RNAcentral lists this ribosomal RNA (492 nucleotides) under uncultured bacterium. Its description in RNAcentral is "partial 16S ribosomal RNA". It matches the Rfam family "Bacterial small subunit ribosomal RNA", at positions 29 to 507 of the family's 1533-position model. The record is from RNAcentral.